AGAGUUUGAUCCUGGCUCAGAUUGAACGCUGGCGGCAUGCCUUACACAUGCAAGUCGAACGGCAGCACGGGAGCAAUCCUGGUGGCGAGUGGCGAACGGGUGAGUAAUAUAUCGGAACGUGCCCAAUCGUGGGGGAUAACGCAGCGAAAGCUGUGCUAAUACCGCAUACGAUCUACGGAUGAAAGCGGGGGAUUCGCAAGAACCUCGCGCGAAUGGAGCGGCCGAUAUCAGAUUAGCUAGUUGGUGGGGUAAAAGCUCACCAAGGCGACGAUCUGUAGCUGGUCUGAGAGGACGACCAGCCACACUGGAACUGAGACACGGUCCAGACUCCUACGGGAGGCAGCAGUGGGGAAUUUUGGACAAUGGGCGCAAGCCUGAUCCAGCAAUGCCGCGUGCAGGAUGAAGGCCUUCGGGUUGUAAACUGCUUUUGUACGGAACGAAACGGUCCUUUCUAAUAAAGAGGGCUAAUGACGGUACCGUAAGAAUAAGCACCGGCUAACUACGUGCCAGCAGCCGCGGUAAUACGUAGGGUGCGAGCGUUAAUCGGAAUUACUGGGCGUAAAGCGUGCGCAGGCGGUGAUGUAAGACAGAUGUGAAAUCCCCGGGCUCAACCUGGGACCUGCAUUUGUGACUGCAUCGCUAGAGUACGGUAGAGGGGGAUGGAAUUCCGCGUGUAGCAGUGAAAUGCGUAGAUAUGCGGAGGAACACCGAUGGCGAAGGCAAUCCCCUGGACCUGUACUGACGCUCAUGCACGAAAGCGUGGGGAGCAAACAGGAUUAGAUACCCUGGUAGUCCACGCC
RNAcentral lists this ribosomal RNA (800 nucleotides) under uncultured bacterium. RNAcentral describes it as "bacterial SSU rRNA". It matches the Rfam family "Bacterial small subunit ribosomal RNA", at positions 8 to 801 of the family's 1533-position model. The record is from RNAcentral.